Molecule: ribosomal RNA, 397 nt
Filed under: uncultured bacterium
Lineage: Bacteria
Description: bacterial SSU rRNA
Rfam family: Bacterial small subunit ribosomal RNA
Source: RNAcentral
AUUGAACGCUGGCGGCAGGCCUAACACAUGCAAGUCGAGCGGUAGAGAGGUGCUUGCAUCUCUUGAGAGCGGCGGACGGGUGAGUAAUGCCUAGGAAUCUGCCUAGUGGUGGGGGAUAACGUUCGGAAACGGACGCUAAUACCGCAUACGUCCUACGGGAGAAAGCGGGGGAUCUUCGGACCUCGCGCCAUUAGAUGAGCCUAGGUCGGAUUAGCUAGUUGGUGAGGUAAUGGCUCACCAAGGCGACGAUCUGUAGCUGGUCUGAGAGGACGACCAGCCACACUGGGACUGAGACACGGCCCAGACUCCUACGGGAGGCAGCAGUGGGGAAUUUUGGACAAUGGGCGCAAGCCUGAUCCAGCAAUGCCGCGUGCAGGAUGAAGGCCUCGGUUGUAAC